RNAcentral lists this unclassified non-coding RNA (162 nucleotides) under uncultured Ascomycota. Its description in RNAcentral is "sequence contains ITS1". The record is from RNAcentral. Lineage: Eukaryota; Fungi; Ascomycota.
UAGAGUUGCAAAACUCCCAACCCUUUGUGAACCUUACCUGUUCUAGUUGCUUCGGCAGGCGGCCCCAGGGCGGGGUCUUUUAAGCCUGUUAUGGGUGUUUGCCGAUAGCAUUCUCUCAAACUCUUUUUUAAUUAAAUCUUCUGAGUUUUAAAAAUAAGUACA